This 2834-nucleotide long non-coding RNA is filed under the name Xyrichtys novacula (pearly razorfish). The record is from RNAcentral. Lineage: Eukaryota; Metazoa; Chordata; Actinopteri; Labriformes; Labridae.
CAAUCUACACCCCAUGGCCAUUAAAAAGUUAUUCAAAUCAUGACGCUGCCCCCCACGGUUUAGGUUCUAGGGGGCGCCAAAGAUAACCCAAAAAUCCACAUUCUUAAAAGUCUUAUAACUUUUUAUUUUUGUCCUCACUGGCCUCCAAGUUUUGUAGGAUGAUGCAAUGUCCAGCAAUUAACACAUUUGUGAAGGAAUUUUUACUCCCCAAAAGAGCGCCCCCCCACGGCAGGAGAAAAAAGUCAAUUUUUUCUUGUCCCCUAAGGUGAAAAUACACAUUGUUGAGUGUCACGCCUGUACGCUUUGUCAUAUUGACACAAAAUUUGACCAUCACGUGUAUCUCAAUAAGAUCUACGAAAAAGUCAAUGUGUGCGUAUCUGUCAAAUGUACGAUAAAAGGGCUAUUUUGCAUUUUUUGCCGAUUCGCACACAUUGGAAUGUGGCUAACUCCUCCUAAGGCUUUCGUCCCACUGACACCAAAUUUGCUCAGGCCAAUCUACACCCCAUGGCUAUUCAAAGUUGUAAAAAUCAUGACGCUGCACCCCACGGUUUAUGUUCUAGGGGGCGCCUAGAGCACAACCUCACCUGUGUGAAUUUACAGUUAUUUUAUCAUUUUGACAUACUGUAUUUACACAAUGGACCCAAAUUCACACACAAAACAUAAAAUCCGAGUGGAAAAAAGUAACAUUUUUCCUGUGAAAACCACAAAUAUGUGUGAUGAACUGUUUUUAAAACUUAAACUUCAAAUAAAAUUGUAAACUUCAAAACAUAUGCAAAUUUUUAACAAAGAACAUAGUAAUUUACCCCUAUUUACAUCAAAAUGCAGGCAAUGGCCCAGGCGUUCUUUGUAAAAUUAUUUACAAAACACUGUAUAGUCUCACAAAUGUCACUUUUUAUUUAUGCCACUACAAAAAAACAUGAUGUAAAUGAUGCAUGAUGUAAAACAUGAUGUAAAAAACUUGUGUAGCUCCUCCUCUAUGUUAGUCCAUGUGUAAUUUUUCCAUAAUUCUUUGUUUUUUGCAGCAUUUUUGUUAGUGUAACUGCAGAUUGUGCUGACAGUGUCUAUGGCAAAAAAAAAAAAAAAAAACUGAAAAUGCCUCAACAUGAACCCCUGGUGGUCUCUGAGGGUGAAACCUGCUAACUGCUGCAGCUCUGUCAGCUUCAGUCUCCCAUGCAGAGCUCAGAGCGCAUGUGUGGCUCUGCACCCUUAGCAGCGUUGCCAACUCCUCAGUAAGGAAAGCCUGCUUCAUGUCAGAGUCUCUAAACUCCAGAAGAAGUCGAUAAAAUUCCCUUUCUUUCUAAAAAAAAAGUCGUUAGGGGGUCUGAAAAGUCAUUGAAUCUAACAACAAAGUCGCUAGGUUUGCAACUACGUGUCCCAGACUGCAUCCCUGCUGAGAGUCCCUCCCUCCCUUCUCAUAUUGCAGGAAGAACGUAAGCGCCCGCCCCUUGUCAAUCAGUCACCAUAUAAUUUUGGAUUGGUUGUUGUGGUGAAGUUUUCCACCAAUGGGAGAGAUGUUGUGGUGUGUUGUUUUUUUUCUUUGGCAAGCCUUUUCCGCCUGUAAGAGCUGUCGCUAAUGUCUGCAUGCUAUGUUUUUCUGUCUCAUACAGCGCGAUCGAGCGUCGAACGUGAUCAAAUAAGCAGAAAAAAAGUAUCACGGACAUAAUUUAUCAUAACUCUGGUUUUAUUUGGCCUAUCAACACAAUUUAAAAACUGGUAUAUAGUUUGAGGUCCUCACUUUUGAGAUAAGUUGAAACGGAGGGUGAACGAGGCUCCGUCUUGCAGCUACAUCCGGUUAAAUAUGUCAUGUGACUUGAACGCUGGGGAGCGUCAAUCGACUGCAGAGCCAGCAGACAAAGUAGUUAUGGCCACUGAGAGGCACACAUUUGUCAUAUGCUAUAAUCCUAACAUAUUUUAAUACUUUUUCUAUUUAAACCUCAUGGAUCUAAGCUUUGACCUUCAAAAUUUAGGAAGAAUAUGUUUUUGCAGUAAUGACCCCCUUAAACAACCAGAGGUCCUUUCCCAAAGUUUAUGGAAAUUUUAGUGAAGGGCUUGGUUUCUUUCCUUGCAAAAUGUAUAGAAAUAAUAAAGCUAAAUACCAUAAAAUGGUCUUGGCGUAUUAGCAGUGAUAUAAAAUAGUGGUUUGAAUAUGAAUGAACAACAAAAAAAAAAUAUCAACAGAGCCUUUUUGAGUUGGGAUUAUUUCAUUAUCACACAAAAACAGACAUAGACAGACAUCUAAAGGGUAAGGGAAUGAUCAGCCCUCCUAACUCUCAGAUGAAUCUUCAAAAUUCACCUCAGAAAUAUGCUUAUUAUUCUUCUCAGAGUACUGCAAGAUAUACACACACACACACACACACACACACACACACAGACACACACACACACACACACACACACACACACACACACACACACACACACACACACACACUCAGAGUCUCAAGAAUACAGAGGCUCCUUUUGCCCCUGAAAAAAAUCAAAUUUCAAACACAACUUGACUGCUCAUUUCUCCAAAAGACAACCAUGAAGCUCCAUCCAAACCUGAAGCAGGCAGUUGGUGCAUGUGUACAGUAACCUGAGGGGAGUGAGGUGACUGCUUCUGAGGAGAACAUGAGCAGUGAAGAUUCACCUUGAAGCUAGAACAGGGACGUGCACAUGAUUAUACAGGGGCAGGGGCUCAAGUUUUUUCCAGUCAUUUAUACAAUAUGGAAAUUAAUGUGAAAUUAAAAACAAAGUAUUAAUAGAAAGGUAAUGACUGUCCUGUGUAGGUGACAGUGAUAUCCAAUAGGCUAGGCACUCACGAGGCUGGCUGUGGCAAGUGUAAGUGAAAGCAA